This 74-nucleotide microRNA precursor is filed under the name Myotis lucifugus (little brown bat). Its description in RNAcentral is "mir-9193 microRNA precursor family". It matches the Rfam family "mir-9193 microRNA precursor family". Lineage: Eukaryota; Metazoa; Chordata; Mammalia; Chiroptera; Vespertilionidae. The record is from Rfam by way of RNAcentral.
GGGGAGGAGGGGGAGUCCCUCAGCCCGGAUUGCAAGAGGGCGCAGACCAGGCCAAGGGACCUCACCGGUGCACA